Molecule: ribosomal RNA, 514 nt
Filed under: Yarrowia lipolytica
Lineage: Eukaryota; Fungi; Ascomycota; Dipodascomycetes; Dipodascales
Description: eukaryotic LSU rRNA
Rfam family: Eukaryotic large subunit ribosomal RNA
Source: RNAcentral
AUUGCCUCAGUAACGGCGAGUGAAGCGGCAAAAGCUCAAAUUUGAAACCCUCGGGAUUGUAAUUUGAAGAUUUGGCAUUGGAGAAAGCUAACCCAAGUUGCUUGGAAUAGUACGUCAUAGAGGGUGACAACCCCGUCUGGCUAACCGUUCUCCAUGUAUUGCCUUAUCAAAGAGUCGAGUUGUUUGGGAAUGCAGCUCAAAGUGGGUGGUAAACUCCAUCUAAAGCUAAAUACUGGUGAGAGACCGAUAGCGAACAAGUACUGUGAAGGAAAGGUGAAAAGAACUUUGAAAAGAGAGUGAAAUAGUAUGUGAAAUUGUUGAUAGGGAAGGAAAUGAGUGGAGAGUGGCCGAGGUUUCAGCCGCCCCUCGUGGGCGGUGUACUGCCGACGCCGAGUCAUCGAUAGCGAGACGAGGGUUACAAAUGGGAGCGCCUUCGGGCGUUCUCCCCUAACCCUCCACACUGCCACCGACGACAUAAUCCACCCAUUUCACCCGUCUUGAACACCGGACCAAA